GGGGUUGUAGCUCAGCUGUAGAGCGCUCGCCUAGCAUGUGCGGGGCCCUGGGUUCGAUCCUCAGGACCACA
This 71-nucleotide transfer RNA is filed under the name Marmota monax (woodchuck). Its description in RNAcentral is "tRNA.Ala". Lineage: Eukaryota; Metazoa; Chordata; Mammalia; Rodentia; Sciuridae. The record is from RNAcentral.